CAGUGUCCUGAGUUGUUUUAGCCUCUGCAAGGGAUGCUGGGGAGCCUGAAGUGAAACCCCCAGACACUGGGGUCAGACGGGCCUAUGGUCAAAAACACUUUGUAGUACAUGACCUUGCGUAUUGGUUUGCUGGGCAUGCUAUAGCAACAUACCGCAGAUGGGCGGCUUGAACAAAAGAAAUUAAUUUUCUUACAGUUCUGGAGGCUGGAAAUCCAAGACUGAGAUGUCAGCCAGGAUGGUUUCUAUUGAGGUCUGUCUUGGCUUGUAGAUGGCCACCUUCUUACUGUGUCCUUAUAUGGUCUUUCCUUUGUGUAUCUGUAUCCUGAUCUCUUCUUUAGGGACACUAGUCAUAUUGGAUCAGGGCCCACCCUAAUGACCUCAUUUCAACGUACUCACCUCUUUCCAGGCCCUAUCUCCAAACAACCCGCAUUUCCUCAAAAAUGCGGACUUCAACAUGUCUUUUGGGGGAACAAAGACUUUUGGGGAACAAAGUCUUUGGAGGAACACAGGUCAGCCCAUGAUGCCUUGCCCAGCUCACUCCAAACAUGCUGAGCCUCAGUGUCUUCGUCGAUGAAAUGGGGUGGAUCAGAGGGGGCCAUGAACCUCCUGGUACCUCUUCACCCCUUUGCUCACCAGUUUGGUUAUUCCCUCCAGGCUAAACCAUCUGCUAAGGCCACACUGGACCUUGAAAAGAUACUAAUUGUGAGGGUGAUGGCAACUGCGACACCAGCAAUGGCUGUCUCCUCACUCUGUUCCCCACUGAUCCCAGCAUUCCUCAAGGGGCCUCAGCCAUCCAGAUGGUGCCAGGCACAAAUCAACCUACAGGUGCAGACCUGCUCAGAUUAGAUGGAUUGACAGGUGAGGGGGCCAGGGUAGGAACGGCAUGAGAACAGAGUAUGUAUGUGUGUGUGUGUGAGUCGGGGCGGGGGGAGGUCAUCAAACACUAUGUGGCAUGAUUGCAAUUAGGGAAAAUAUGUUUGAGAAUGUGCUUGUUCUCAUCUGAGGAUAUUACAUAUUGGACGGUCAAUAUGUGAAAUAGAAUCUGGAGAGAAACGCACCCAACAGUCACCAGGGGCUGUCCUGGUUGAGGGAGGAAUGGGGAUGAUCAGGUGGUGGCUUGCAAACAUUUUUGAUCCCUCAGGAGAAAUACGCUUCAUUUCAACCGCCUGGUACACACACAUACACAUGCUUACACAUACACUCCCACAUACACAUAUGCACACACACUCACUCACACGAUAGGUAUAACUGAAGCCAAAGUUGCAGAAACUCCAGCUACCCUAGGUGAAAUGUACGCUGCUAUUCUUACUGUGUUUAUUUUAUUUCAUUCUUCCAAAUGCUUGAC
Molecule: long non-coding RNA, 1345 nt
Organism: Pan paniscus (pygmy chimpanzee)
Lineage: Eukaryota; Metazoa; Chordata; Mammalia; Primates; Hominidae
Source: Ensembl